AUUGAACGCUAGCGGGAGGCUUUACACAUGCAAGUCGAACGAGUGGCGGACGGGUGAGUAAUGUCUGGGAAACUGCCCAGUAGCGGGGGAUAACUACUGGAAAGAGUAGCUAAUACCGCAUACUAUUGGAUGGGCCGAUAUGGGAUUAGCUAGUUGGUGGGGUAAAGGCUCACCAAGGCGGCGAUCCCUAGCUGGUUUGAGAGGAUGACCAGCCACACUGGAACUGAGACACGGUCCAGACUCCUACGGGAGGCAGCAGUGGGGAAUAUUGCACAAUGGGCGCAAGCCUGAUGCAGCCAUGCCGCGUGUAUGAAGAAGGCCUUAGGGUUGUAAAGUACUUUCAGUGGGGAGGCGUUACCGGCAGAAGAAGCACCGGCUAACUCCGUGCCAGCAGCCGCGGUAAUAC
This 406-nucleotide ribosomal RNA is filed under the name uncultured bacterium. RNAcentral describes it as "partial 16S ribosomal RNA". It matches the Rfam family "Bacterial small subunit ribosomal RNA", at positions 30 to 526 of the family's 1533-position model. The record is from RNAcentral.